CCCUUAGAUGUUCUGGGCCGCACGCGCGCUACACUGAUGAAUGCAACGAGCUCUACCCUUGACCGAAAGGCCCGGGUAAACUUGUGAAACUUCAUCGUGAUGGGGAUAGAUUAUUGCAAUUAUUAAUCUUCAACGAGGAAUUCCUAGUAAGCGCGAGUCAUCAGCUCGCGUUGAUUACGUCCCUGCCCUUUGUACACACCGCCCGUCGCUCCUACCGAUUGGGUGUGCUGGUGAAAUGUUCGGAUCGGCCGUUUGUCGCGGUUUCCGCGUCAUGUGGCUGAGAAGUUCAUUAAACCCUCCCACCUAGAGGAAGGAGAAGUCGUAACA
This 327-nucleotide ribosomal RNA is filed under the name uncultured eukaryote. RNAcentral's name for it is "partial 18S ribosomal RNA". It matches the Rfam family "Eukaryotic small subunit ribosomal RNA", at positions 1470 to 1796 of the family's 1831-position model. The record is from RNAcentral.